UCAAACUUGGUCAUUUAGAGGAAGUAAAAGUCGUAACAAGGUUUCCGUAGGUGAACCUGCGGAAGGAUCAUUCACAAUAAGUGUUCAAUGGCACUUUAAAAUCCAUUACCCACCUUGUGUGCAAUGUAAGGAAGAGGGCCUUUUUGGCUCUCUUUCAUUAUACAUACCAAAUCUUCUCUUGUUGUCUACUUUUUGAGUAAUAAGAAACUCGAAUACAACUUUCAACAACGGAUCUCUUGGCUCUCGCAUCGAUGAAGAACGCAGC
Molecule: unclassified non-coding RNA, 265 nt
Filed under: uncultured fungus
Lineage: Eukaryota; Fungi
Description: partial contains small subunit ribosomal RNA, internal transcribed spacer 1, and 5.8S ribosomal RNA
Rfam family: Eukaryotic small subunit ribosomal RNA (bases 1-73)
Source: RNAcentral